GAAGAAAAUCCGUUGGUUUCGGCCGUGAGGGUUCAAGUCCCUCUAUCCCCA
This 51-nucleotide transfer RNA is filed under the name Pteris fauriei. RNAcentral's name for it is "partial tRNA-Leu". RNAcentral also lists the same sequence under 23 other names. Lineage: Eukaryota; Viridiplantae; Streptophyta; Polypodiopsida; Polypodiales; Pteridaceae. The record is from RNAcentral.